This is a non-coding RNA of Physcomitrium patens, 657 nucleotides long. The record is from RefSeq and is a predicted model, not a curated record. NCBI's taxonomy places the organism in Eukaryota, Viridiplantae, Streptophyta, Bryopsida, Funariales, Funariaceae.
AAGCACUCACCAUCGACGCUACCGUCUUUUUCGUCGUCGUCGUCCACCCUAAGGGCCGCAUUUUGUCUCUCCUCAAUUGCAUGCACGAUGUGAAUUAGUCCACUCAACAACAUGAUCAUGUCAAGAACAAUGUUGCCCCUAAUUGCAGCGGAUUUGAUACUACGGUGGAUUGAAGCAGGUGGGUGUUUCUUAGACCUUCUCAUCCUCGAAGAAUACCAGACUUGCGAGAAGGUGAAAAAACACAACAUGAACGGCUUCAAUACAUUUUGUUUACCUAAUCAACUACCAAUUCUGCAAUACUAAGAAGCCCAACAUGAUUAUUUAGAUGUUGCAAUUUAUUUAUUUUUGCUACUUCUGUGAUGGAGCCUCACUUCACAAGGCUUCACACGGCUUCCUUCAGGACCCAGGUAUUUUGAUUUUUCUUAUUCUCUCACCUGAUCCAUUUUCUUAAUUGGAGAGCUUCUUCUUGAGUUCUCAAUGUUAGGAUAAUAUAGUAUACAAGUACAACCAUACAAAUAUGAGUCUAGAAAGGGAGUUUUUUAUGUGCAUCAUUUUUCUAUAAGAAGAUCUUUAGAAAUUAAAAAAUUAAUCAGAAAAUUGAAUUAAGAAUAAUUUAAAUUGUAUAAAUUGUAUUCUUAAAUAUACAAGUUAUAAAUU